AUUUAUUAUUUAUUUUAAAUUAUUAAAAAUAAUUAUAUAAUGUAAUGUUUUAGUAUAUAAUAUAGAAAAAAUAAUAUUAAUAAUAGUUUAAUAGUAUUGUGAAAUAAAAUUGAAAUAUUUGAAAAAUUUUUAUUAUAAAAGUAAAUUUAAUUUAUUGUACCUUGUGUAUCAGGAUUUAUCAAUUAAAAAUUAAUUAUUAUAAUUUUCUCGAUUUUAAAAGAGUUAAUAUAUUAUAAAAGUUAAUGUAACAAAAUUAUUUUUAAUAAUAUAUUAGUAAUGAAAUGUUAUUCGUUUUUAAAGGUAUCUAGUUCUUUAAGAAAUAAAUUUAAUUUAGAAAUUUUAUAUUAUUUAAUUAAAUAUAUUAAUUAAAUAAAUAUUUUAUUUCAAUAUUUUAUGGGAUAAGCUAUAAAAUAAAAUUUUAAAAAUUCAUUAAUUAAUAAAUAAAUAUAAGCUUAGAAAUAGUUAUUAUUAAUAAAAAUGUUAUAGUUUAUUUUAUAAUAAUUAAUUAUUUAUUUGGAUUUUAAAUAUUUAUUAAAGUAUUUAUUUUAAUAUAAAAAAUAAAAAAAUAAUGAUAUAAUUAGUAUAAAUUAUUAUAUUAAUAAAUUUUUUUGAUAAGUUAUUAUAAAGAAUUCGGCAAAAAUAAUGUUCGCCUGUUUAACAAAAACAUGUCUUUUUUUGUUUAUAAAAAGUUUAACCUGCCCACUGAAUAAUUUUAAUGGCCGCAGUAUUUUAACUGUGCAAAGGUAGCAUAAUCAUUAGUCUUUUAAUUGAAGGCUUGUAUGAAUGGUUGGACGAGAUAUUAACUGUUUCAUCUUAAUUUUUUUUUGAAUUUAAUUUUUUAGUCAAAAAGCUAAAAUUUAUUUAAAAGACGAGAAGACCCUAUAAAUCUUUAUAUUGGAAUUAUUAUUAUUAUUUAGAUUUAUUUUAUAAUAAUAUUUAAUAAUAUUUUAUUGGGGUGAUAUUGAAAUUUAUAAAACUUUUAAUUUUUAAUUACAUUAAUUUAUGAAUAAAUGAUCCGUUUUUAACGAUUAAAAAUACAAGUUACUUUAGGGAUAACAGCGUAAUUUUUUUGGAGAGUUCUUAUCGAUAAAAAAGAUUGCGACCUCGAUGUUGGAUUAAGAAAUAAUUUUAGGUGUAGUAGCUUAAAUUUUAAGUCUGUUCGACUUUUAAAUUCUUACAUGAUCUGAGUUCAAACCGGUGUAAGCCAGGUUGGUUUCUAUCUUUAAAAAAUUAAAAUAUUUCAGUACGAAAGGACCUAAUAUUUAAUAAAUUAUUAUUUUAAAAUUGAAUUAAAUUAAUAUAUUAUAAA
Molecule: ribosomal RNA, 1309 nt
Filed under: Tachina fera
Lineage: Eukaryota; Metazoa; Arthropoda; Insecta; Diptera; Tachinidae
Description: 16S ribosomal RNA
Source: RNAcentral